GAAGUUUCGGCAGCACAUAUACUAAAAUUGGAACGAUACAGAGAAGAUUAGCAUGGCCCCUGCGCAAAUGGUGUACCAAUGGUACUUACCGCCAGUAAAAUUGUCU
Molecule: non-coding RNA, 106 nt
Organism: Podarcis lilfordi (Lilford's wall lizard)
Lineage: Eukaryota; Metazoa; Chordata; Lepidosauria; Squamata; Lacertidae
Source: the annotation of a GenBank genome assembly